UAGAGGAAGCUGUGGAGAGA
RNAcentral lists this microRNA (20 nucleotides) under Homo sapiens (human). RNAcentral's name for it is "hsa-miR-3125". The record is from miRBase by way of RNAcentral. Lineage: Eukaryota; Metazoa; Chordata; Mammalia; Primates; Hominidae.